RNAcentral lists this ribosomal RNA (1343 nucleotides) under uncultured bacterium. RNAcentral's name for it is "16S ribosomal RNA". It matches the Rfam family "Bacterial small subunit ribosomal RNA", at positions 28 to 1378 of the family's 1533-position model. The record is from RNAcentral.
GACGAACGCUGGCGGCGUGCUUAACACAUGCAAGUCGAACGGAAAGGCCCUGCUUUUGUGGGGUGCUCGAGUGGCGAACGGGUGAGUAACACGUGAGUAACCUGCCCUUGACUUUGGGAUAACUUCAGGAAACUGGGGCUAAUACCGGAUAGGAGCUCCUGCUGCGUGGUGGGGGUUGGAAAGUUUCGGCGGUUGGGGAUGGACUCGCGGCUUAUCAGCUUGUUGGUGGGGUAGUGGCUUACCAAGGCUUUGACGGGUAGCCGGCCUGAGAGGGUGACCGGCCACAUUGGGACUGAGAUACGGCCCAGACUCCUACGGGAGGCAGCAGUGGGGAAUAUUGCACAAUGGGCGGAAGCCUGAUGCAGCAACGCCGCGUGCGGGAUGACGGCCUUCGGGUUGUAAACCGCUUUCGCCUGUGACGAAGCGUGAGUGACGGUAAUGGGUAAAGAAGCACCGGCUAACUACGUGCCAGCAGCCGCGGUGAUACGUAGGGUGCGAGCGUUGUCCGGAUUUAUUGGGCGUAAAGGGCUCGUAGGUGGUUGAUCGCGUCGGAAGUGUAAUCUUGGGGCUUAACCCUGAGCGUGCUUUCGAUACGGGUUGACUUGAGGAAGGUAGGGGAGAAUGGAAUUCCUGGUGGAGCGGUGGAAUGCGCAGAUAUCAGGAGGAACACCAGUGGCGAAGGCGGUUCUCUGGGCCUUUCCUGACGCUGAGGAGCGAAAGCGUGGGGAGCGAACAGGCUUAGAUACCCUGGUAGUCCACGCUGUAAACGGUGGGUACUAGGUGUGGGGUCCAUUCCACGGGUUCCGUGCCGUAGCUAACGCUUUAAGUACCCCGCCUGGGGAGUACGGCCGCAAGGCUAAAACUCAAAGGAAUUGACGGGGCCCCGCACAAGCGGCGGAGCAUGCGGAUUAAUUCGAUGCAACGCGUAGAACCUUACCUGGGUUUGACAUGGAUCGGGAGUGCUCAGAGAUGGGUGUGCCUCUUUUGGGGUCGGUUCACAGGUGGUGCAUGGCUGUCGUCAGCUCGUGUCGUGAGAUGUUGGGUUAAGUCCCGCAACGAGCGCAACCCUUGUUCACUGUUGCCAGCACGUUAUGGUGGGGACUCAGUGGAGACCGCCGGGGUCAACUCGGAGGAAGGUGGGGAUGACGUCAAGUCAUCAUGCCCCUUAUGUCCAGGGCUUCACGCAUGCUACAAUGGCUGGUACAGAGAGUGGCGAGCCUGUGAGGGUGAGCGAAUCUCGGAAAGCCGGUCUCAGUUCGGAUUGGGGUCUGCAACUCGACCUCAUGAAGUCGGAGUCGCUAGUAAUCGCAGAUCAGCAACGCUGCGGUGAAUACGUUCCCGGG